RNAcentral lists this long non-coding RNA (666 nucleotides) under Homo sapiens (human). RNAcentral's name for it is "HSALNT0314727". The record is from RNAcentral. Lineage: Eukaryota; Metazoa; Chordata; Mammalia; Primates; Hominidae.
CCCUCGCUCUUGACCCUGCCAGUCUUUAAAACUCAGAUGAGCUGUCCUUAAUUCUUUUGUGUUUUCUUUGUCUAAUUUUUUGUGACUAUCAUCAGGCAACCUGGGACUUGAACAUCUCUUACCUAGAAUUGCAAAUUGGAUCACAUCUCCUUUAUCGGAAUCUUAUGUUUUUCACAAAAUGUUGUGUUGAAAGCUAGCUCCAUCCGAGCUGGAAAAGAUACAGACAUUGCAUCAUGGAAUUUAAGGCCUUAAAAUAUUACAUUUCAUGGGAUGCCCUUUUAUUUCUUCUAAAGCUCUUACUGAGCUUUUAGGACAGAUAUUUGCAGAGUAUGUCCUAUCCAUUUCUUCUUUUUCUUUUCUGAGGAGUACAACUUUUUAUCUGAAUGAGCCCUCCUUGGUGAAACUGAUGUUUCAAGUCAAGUUUCCACUACAGAGUAUCCUGGCAAUACAACCAGAUGAACGAUCAGUUUGCCCAUUAAUUUUGUUCUUUGUUUUGAAUAUGAAUACACUAGAGCAGUCAUGGGCUGGACGCAGUGGCUCACGACUAUAAUCCGAGCACUUUGGGAGGCCAAGGCUGGAGGAUCACUUGAGGUCAGGAGUUCAAAAUCAGCCUGGCCAACAUUGUGAAAUCCCAUCUCUACUAAAAACACAAAAAUUAUCUGGUGU